GACGGAAGGUGCAAGCGUUGCUCGGAAUCACUGGGCGUAAAGGGUGCGUAGGCGGCUUGGUGGGUCUGGUGUGAAAGCCCCGGGCUCAGCCCGGGAAGGGCACUAGAAACUGCCGAGCUGGAGUGCCGGAGGGGAGAGUGGAAUUCCUGGUGUAGCGGUGAAAUGCGUAGAUAUCGUAAGGAAGACCAGUGGCGAAGGCGGGUCUCUGGACAGUUCCUGACACUGAGGCACGAAGGCCAGGGGAGCAAACGGG
This 253-nucleotide ribosomal RNA is filed under the name uncultured bacterium. RNAcentral's name for it is "partial 16S ribosomal RNA". It matches the Rfam family "Bacterial small subunit ribosomal RNA", at positions 524 to 776 of the family's 1533-position model. The record is from RNAcentral.